GUACAUUAAUGGUCACCUAAAGUAACCGAGAUCCUUAUGCAGAUAUUGCUAUGACAUGCAGAUCUCAGCAUUUCCAAGGGAAGUAGAACAUUCAUGCUGGAUUCUUGUCAUUCAAUCACAUAUUUCACAGCCAUGGCUGUGACUUGGUUGCUGUUUUAACCCAGUUUGAUUAAACUGUUCACAUCUCUAUUCAUCUUACAGAGCUGGUGUGACUCAGUAUCAAAUGGCAUAAAACAGGAGGGAGCAUUGCUACCUCUGUUGGGGGAAUUGUUUGUGAGGCAUCAGACUCCUUCAGGGAAGAAUCUUGGCCCUGUCCAUCUGGGAGAAAUGGGGCAGGAGUUUGCUUGAGAGCAUGCAUGUUAGUUUACAAUGUCUGUGCCAGCCCACACAGGGAGGUGGUCUUCUCCCUCAUAGUACCCAUCUGGAGAUGCAACGUGCCAGUCCAAGAUGAGAGGCACCACUGAAAGGACUCAGUUUUGGAAUGGACCCUAUGAAUCGUCUACAUCCAAGCCUCUCUGCACGUUCAAGAUACGAAUACAGAACCUUGGGCUUUAAACAUACUCAAAUACUGCAAGACUUGUAAUAAAAAUGGAGUUUUUACAACACUUGCAUAAGUACAGCUUCCAUUCCAGUUCAAGAGCAGGUUGGGUCCUUAGCUCAGAAAGUCACUUCUAAAGAACCAAAGAUCAUUCUUUCCCAUCUUCCACUGAGUUCCACCAAGGGAAAGAAUUUAGAAGAAACUUAUUUACUGCUGCAGGCUGAACCUGUCUUUUCUCUGAAUCUGUUUCUCUUUUUCAUCUAAACUGUACAAAAAUAGGCAGUA
This is a long non-coding RNA of Gavialis gangeticus (Gharial), 823 nucleotides long. RefSeq lists it as uncharacterized. NCBI's taxonomy places the organism in Eukaryota, Metazoa, Chordata, Crocodylia, Gavialidae. The record is from RefSeq and is a predicted model, not a curated record. The transcript is spliced from 2 exons.